RNAcentral lists this ribosomal RNA (292 nucleotides) under uncultured bacterium. RNAcentral's name for it is "partial 16S ribosomal RNA". It matches the Rfam family "Bacterial small subunit ribosomal RNA", at positions 505 to 796 of the family's 1533-position model. The record is from RNAcentral.
GUGUCAGCCGCCGCGGUAAUAUGGAGGGUGCAAGCGUUAUCCGGAUUCACUGGGUUUAAAGGGUGCGUAGGAGGGCAGGUAAGUCAGUGGUGAAAUCCCCGAGCUUAACUUGGGAACUGCCGUUGAUACUAUCUGUCUUGAAUGUUGUGGAGGUGAGCGGAAUAUGUCAUGUAGCGGUGAAAUGCUUAGAUAUGACAUAGAACACCAAUUGCGAAGGCAGCUCGCUACACAAUUAUUGACUCUUAUGCACGAAAGCGUGGGGAUCAAACAGGAUUAGAUACCCGAGUAGUCC